AGAGUUUGAUCCUGGCUCAGGAUGAACGCUAGCUACAGGCUUAACACAUGCAAGUCGAGGGGAAACGACAUCGAAAGCUUGCUUUUGAUGGGCGUCGACCGGCGCACGGGUGAGUAACGCGUAUCCAACCUGCCCACCACUUGGGGAUAACCUUGCGAAAGUAAGACUAAUACCCAAUGAUAUCUCUAGAAGACAUCUGAAAGGGAUUAAAGAUUUAUCGGUGAUGGAUGGGGAUGCGUCUGAUUAGCUUGUUGGCGGGGUAGCGGCCCACCAAGGCGACGAUCAGUAGGGGUUCUGAGAGGAAGGUCCCCCACAUUGGAACUGAGACACGGUCCAAACUCCUACGGGAGGCAGCAGUGAGGAAUAUUGGUCAAUGGACGAGAGUCUGAACCAGCCAAGUAGCGUGCAGGAUGACGGCCCUAUGGGUUGUAAACUGCUUUUAUAAGGGAAUAAAGUGAGUCUCGUGAGACUUUUUGCAUGUACCUUAUGAAUAAGGACCGGCUAAUUCCGUGCCAGCAGCCGCGGUAAUACGGAAGGUCCGGGCGUUAUCCGGAUUUAUUGGGUUUAAAGGGAGCGUAGGCCGGAGAUUAAGCGUGUUGUGAAAUGUAGACGCUCAACGUCUGCACUGCAGCGCGAACUGGUUUCCUUGAGUACGCACAAAGUGGGCGGAAUUCGUGGUGUAGCGGUGAAAUGCUUAGAUAUCACGAAGAACUCCGAUUGCGAAGGCAGCUCACUGGAGCGCAACUGACGCUGAAGCUCGAAAGUGCGGGUAUCGAACAGGAUUAGAUACCCUGGUAGUCCGCACGGUAAACGAUGGAUGCCCGCUGUUGGUCUGAAUAGGUCAGCGGCCAAGCGAAAGCAUUAAGCAUCCCACCUGGGGAGUACGCCGGCAACGGUGAAACUCAAAGGAAUUGACGG
RNAcentral lists this ribosomal RNA (918 nucleotides) under uncultured bacterium. RNAcentral's name for it is "bacterial SSU rRNA". It matches the Rfam family "Bacterial small subunit ribosomal RNA", at positions 8 to 916 of the family's 1533-position model. The record is from RNAcentral.